Zootermopsis nevadensis is the source of this 3239-nucleotide non-coding RNA. The record is from RefSeq and is a predicted model, not a curated record. NCBI's taxonomy places the organism in Eukaryota, Metazoa, Arthropoda, Insecta, Blattodea, Termopsidae.
UAAUUGAGCAAUUUAUUAUUCAGUUGACUAAUUGAAUUGGUAUAAAAUAUAGAAGAGAGCUUCAACAUGGGUAUUAGCUAGUGCUGAUGCAACAGUACAUGAACUUUUUAUUAGGUUGACAUUCUGUGACUAGAGUGUGGGGAAACACGAUUGGGUUUGCAUCACACAAAAUGUACAAUUGCUUCAAAGGUGAAUGUUAAUAUAGUGCAAUGAUGGUGGUAACAAGAGCCCAGAUUUAUGAGUGAUGAUUCUGCUGCCGGUUACACUCCAGGAUUAGAAACUUAUGCUACUACAUUAUACAGCCAAUUGGAAGUCACAUAUUCCCAUUGGAGCCUAAGUAAUUCAGCAUUCAAGAUACUAAGCUCCACUUACCUCUCACACUCGGUUCCAACAGAAAAGCUGCUGCACAUCAUAGGACAUAGCUCAUGUCUACCUAAAAAACCAUACAAUUUGCAGAUGUUACGGACUUUAAACUAUGGGAGAGUUACUGCAAAGGUGAUUCAGAAAUCAGGGGUCACCCAUUUGGCAUCCAGGUUUGCGAUGUGUGGUGCAUCAAGUGUCAAAAUGGGGUCACAUUAAUACAGGACCUUCGGUCACUUCACUCAGACCCACAGCUCACCAGUGGUCAGCGAUGAUGUGGUUCUGUAUCUCUGCUCUCGAGGAAAUAUGCAAUGAGUCAACCAGCACUCAUUUUGAUCUACUUUCUGUUUGAUGAUUGGUUCUAUGAGCAGGAAGAUGGAGUGGGCAUGGAGCCAUCAACUAUCCCACAUCAUAGCCAACAAAUAUACAUCACAUUCUGAGGCACAGCUGGUGUUGGUUAAGGUUUGUGGGUUUGUGGGCGAUACCUUUGUUGUCUGACAUCAUGAUCCAGUGGAUCUCCACAACUUUCUCUUCCACCUAAAGAGAAUUCCUCCAAAGAUUCAGUUUAUGAUGGAGUGGGAAGCAGGAGGUCACCUGCCAUUCCUGGCUGAAUGUUGGCAUUUAGAGAAUCACAUUCAGUUCUUGGGCACAAACCACAGGAAUUACUUGAAUGGGUGCUGUGUUGCAUCACCAGCUGACCCAGAUCUUUGGUAUCCUCUGAACCUUUAUACUUUGGGCAAGCAACAUAAACCUACGUACUGAACUGGCUUGUCCCAGAAGAACUUCCAUGAGGAAAGGUGCCCUGCAGAAUAUUCUGCCCCAGGGACUGGCCCAGUGAAACAGCAUUGAUAGAAACCCAUCAGAACAGAAUUUUAUCAUUCUUGCAGAAUCUGUCCAGCUGCGAUGGCAAAAUAGUGGUGUGUUACUACAUCCAUCUUAUCAUGACAGCUGCUGGAGGCUACUUGUAAGUGCAGGUCUUUGUUCAUAGGUGAGAUUUGUCACAUAAUAGAAAAUGAUGAAUGGAACAGCAGAGAGACCUCUAGCGGUGCUAUGCUUUGUUGGUAUCACACUCAGUCAACCAGGGCCGCGAGAUGCAGUUUGACAACACGAUGGUAGGAAGUUACAGUAAUAGCCUAGCGUCUCCAAGGUACACAGGAUGCCACUGAGGGCCAGUAACAGCAGCACCAACUCUAUAACUUGCGCCAUUCGUCAAUCCUACCUAUGUCCAUCCUCGCUAACACCUGACCACAUGGUGUGUGACCAUCACACCACUUUGGGGUCCUCCAUAAUGACUGCUUGUUUGGUGUUCUUUAUGCUCUGGAAUUAGGAAAGAACAAUAAGGGCCUGUCCAUACCUGAUUCUCUGCCUGUCACGAUUUUGAGUAAUGGACUGGUAGUAGAUUCAGAAAACAUAAUACGAAAAAUGGAAUUGUUGACCAAAUGGUGAUUUGCGUGCUGGAUGAUCAUAACACUGAUUAGAAUGAUAAGAUAAAUGUUGAUGAUUUUCACAGGUGAAUUUUGAUUUCAGAAAACUGAUGUAAUGGAUAUGGCAGUGAUCUUCAGACUGAUCAUUGUGGACCUUGCCAUAAUGACUGUAAUAUAAGCCAGUCAUUGUGUUGAAUAUUUUUGGGAUUGGUGUGUUACCUGUAUAAGAUGUGAAGUUCUCAUUGCAACCUAUUUCAGCAAAGUCUUGCUCAUGAGAAUUGAGUUUUGAUCACAACUCACGUGGCUGAUCAUGUGAGGAGACAUCAUUGAGUGGGACACCUGAUUCUGUGUAGAUCAAUUGUUAGGUCAUGAAAGUUUAUGAUAGAGGAGGAACUGUCUAUUAUACUGGGUUACUUGCAAUAUGCUAUGGCAAUGUCAUUACAAGAUGGUGUCUAGAGUUGAUUUGUAAGUUUCUGCAUUUCACUGAUGAUAAGAGUAUCCAUACCAUGGCCUUCCAGAGCUUUGAGGAUGGUGUCUGUCAGGCCAAGACAUCUGUAAUUCUGUAGAAGAGCCAUCUAUGAAACAAUUUCUUCCACAGUGAAAUUUAUAAUGCAGAUGUCUGAAUACUGAGACAGUUACAGAGUCACCUGUCAUACCAGUAGAUAUGAGCAAAAAAAAUUACUGCAGUUUUUGAUGUUCUGGUCUAAACUUUGCCAGGCUUGCCAUCUCAGCCCAUUAGUCUGGUAAAAUAAAUUUAGGAAACAAAUUGGCCAUUGUAGGAAUGCUGUUGUGUAGAAGGCUUGAUCAGAAAAAAUUGCUGUGCUCUGAGUGUGUGUGAGGGACGCAAUGAAGUGUUGUGAAUAGUGUGGUGUUGGAGUCUGUUUGAACUGUUUUGUAGACUAUCGAAAGAACAGCUUGCUUGUGUAAGAGAGAAAUAGGUUAGAGAGGUAUAUUGCAGUAUGUAAUAAGGAAGCUUGUGUCUGUAUUGCUGGGACAAUUAAGACUGUUUCAGUUUGCGGAUAAGGAAUGCCCAAUGUAUAAUCAGGCAUGAAGUUCUGACCAGGCAGGUGAUUCAUUGGAUCGAAUGAUUGUUGCCCAACAAAUGAGAGAGGACAGUCUUGCUAUGGCAAGGAGUCCUCUUAGUAUUCCACAGUAGACAAGAUUCUCUAGAAAUCUGGUAAGAUAAGCAAUUAAAAUGUUUUGUUAAUAGCUUGUUCUGAGUUUUGUGAAUUUUAGCACAUUUUGAAUUAGCGCGGAGCAAGAAACCUAAGCUCUGUAGAUUAAGAAACUCAACAUCUCAGUGCAAUAAAAUGCACUGGAGAAAUGUAAGCUGAUAUGAUUGUGACAGAUAUUCAUUCCGGGAUAAAAGCAUCAGUACAUGUGUAAUAAAUAAUCCUGAUGCAUCCAGAUUAUUAUUGUGUUGACAUUACAUGACUAAAAUAAAGAUGCUACAAG